RNAcentral lists this long non-coding RNA (422 nucleotides) under Vulpes vulpes (red fox). RNAcentral's name for it is "lncRNA (ENSVVUG00000020456.1)". Lineage: Eukaryota; Metazoa; Chordata; Mammalia; Carnivora; Canidae. The record is from RNAcentral.
GGCUGUUGUGACCACCACUGUGCUCAUGGAAGGAAGAGCCACAGAAGAUCCAGAGCUUAAGGGAUGCAAAGCCCUGGCCCUGUAGUCAAGAAGGGACAAGGUAGAGGAGAGGAAAUGUCCCAACAUGAAAAAUGGUGGACUUGGAAUGUGACUUCACAGCUCAUGUACUCACCAGUGUUUCCCCUGGACUGUGAGGCCAAAGUUCACAUUGAAUUUAAUCAAGACUGCAGUGAGAACAGGAAUAAGCAAACUGCAAGAUAUGUGUGUGACAACUAAUGAAUGUAUCUCAGCAAAACUCCACUGCCUGGAGAGGAGGAACGUCAACAGAGACCAAUGGCUUCAUCUCCUCAGUCUAUCCAGAUGUUUGUUCUCUUCCAUGGCAAUUGAGUGGCUGCACCCCCCAGGCCCCCUUGCUGUUAAUG